AAAUCAAAAGAAUCCUUCGAAAUGUUAUAGAUCAGUAAGGGAGUCCUAAGAACUGGAGGCGAUAAGGGAUAUGGCAGCAGUAUCAAAGUGGUAGUAUUCCUCAGCUAACCAGUAUGCUCUAUCCAACACCCACUACACAGGUACAACCUCGGCUUCGAAAAUCAGAUUGUUCCUGGACAAUUAGAUCUGAUAGGUGAUAUAUGCCAUCCUAGUGCCAUAGGGCGAGCCCUCGAUCAUACUCUGAUGGACCGCACCUAGGAAAGAUGAAAGCCAAGGGCUAUUAUUAGCCUCCCAAGGCUAGCCACCAGCCAUGCCCGAAAUCAAACACACCCUCGAGCAACGAAGCAGAGCAUGCUCCAUCGACUUAUCCUUCAAUCUGCA
This 381-nucleotide long non-coding RNA is filed under the name Elaeis guineensis (African oil palm). Its description in RNAcentral is "long non-coding RNA (EGUI_LNC072677)". Lineage: Eukaryota; Viridiplantae; Streptophyta; Magnoliopsida; Arecales; Arecaceae. The record is from RNAcentral.